UCUUCUUCCUUCCAUCCACCGCAGGAUCCACCACGUUGCUUCCAUCUUCUUCCUUCCCCCCACCGCAGGAUCCACCGCGUUGCUCCUACAAAUCCUUCCAUCUUCUUCCUUCCCCCACCGCAGGAUCCACCGCGUUGCUCCUACAAAUCCUUCCAUCUUCUUCCUUCCCCCCACCGAGCAAAGACAACUGGUUUGGAUCGAUCGAGAAGCAGAGCAAAGUGAAGACAACGGAAGGUUCUUUGAGGCUUUGAGUCAUGGAGGGUAGACCAAACAGUCAAAAUCCAUUGUUCGUGAACGUUGCUUCAGGGGAAGGCAUAGGAGAAGAAACUCUGGGUACUGACAUAUCAAAUGGGGGACCUAGCUACUCUGUUGGAGGUGGUAGUUCAAACCCAGAUGAAAGUUUAGAUGGGUCAUUUGAUGAGAUUUGGAAUGAUACAGAGGAUCAAAGUUUUGGUUAUGGU
This is a long non-coding RNA of Trifolium pratense (red clover), 461 nucleotides long. RefSeq lists it as uncharacterized. The record is from RefSeq and is a predicted model, not a curated record. NCBI's taxonomy places the organism in Eukaryota, Viridiplantae, Streptophyta, Magnoliopsida, Fabales, Fabaceae. The transcript is spliced from 3 exons.